Nycticebus coucang (slow loris) is the source of this 104-nucleotide small nuclear RNA. NCBI's taxonomy places the organism in Eukaryota, Metazoa, Chordata, Mammalia, Primates, Lorisidae. The record is from RefSeq and is a predicted model, not a curated record.
GUCUACCACCCCCCCCAAAAAAAAAAACUGGAACGAUACAGAGGAGAUUAGCAUGACCCCUGCGCAAGGAUGACACACAAAUUCGUGAAGCAAUCCAUCUUUUU